CCGCGGCGGCUCAUGAUGUGCCUGGAGAGCGACGGCUCGUCAAGCGGAGGCCCGCCGGGCUGCAGCGGGCGCCUCCGGGUCUCGGCCGUUGCUGGCACGGGCGACGACGACGACGAGGACGACGGAGGAGGAGGAAGCGGGGACAGCGGCUGCUGCGGGCGGAGCGGCGAGGUGCAGACCCUGUCGGGCGCCGUCCACGCGCCCCAGGGCGGCGCCGACAAGGCAGCAGCGGCCGCGGGCGCCGCGCCUCCCAGCCUGGGCAGAGCGCGCGUGGCAGCCGCCGCCAUCCUCAGCGUGGGAAACGUCCUCAACUACCUGGACAGGUACACCGUGGCAGGUGUUUUGCUAGACAUUCAGCAACAUUUCGGAGUCAAGGACAGCGGAGCCGGCUUGCUGCAGACAGUUUUCAUCUGCAGCUUCAUGGUAGCAGCCCCAAUAUUUGGCUACCUGGGUGACCGUUUCAACAGGAAAAUUAUUCUCAGCUGCGGCAUUUUCUUCUGGUCGGCCAUCACCUUUUCCAGCUCCUUCAUCACUGAGCAGUAUUUCUGGCUGUUUGUCCUCUCGCGGGGUUUGGUCGGCAUCGGCGAAGCCAGCUACUCCACCAUUGCUCCCACCAUCAUCGGAGACCUCUUCACCAAAAACACCCGGACCCUCAUGCUCUCCGUUUUUUAUUUCGCAAUCCCUUUGGGCAGCGGUUUAGGGUACAUCACUGGAUCAAGCGUCAAGCAAGUAGCUGGUGACUGGCACUGGGCCCUUCGGGUCUCCCCGCUUUUGGGCAUGAUCACCGGCACACUCAUCUUAAUAUUUGUUCCAGCUGCUAAGAGAGGCAACGCCGAGCAGCUAGGGGCGCAGCUGAAGGCUCGGACCUCCUGGCUGAGGGACAUGAAGGCCUUGAUAAGGAACCGCAGCUACGUCUUUUCCUCUCUGGCUACCUCGGCUGUCUCCUUCGCCACGGGGGCCCUGGGGAUGUGGAUCCCACUCUACCUCCACCGGGCACAAGUGGUCCAGAAAACGGCAGAGACCUGCACAUCUCAGCCCUGCGGGACCAAGGACAGCUUGAUCUUCGGAGCUAUCACUUGCUUCACCGGAUUUCUGGGCGUGAUCACCGGGGCCGGCGCGACCAAGUGGUGCCGUUUGAAGACGCAGCGGGCGGAUCCCCUCGUCUGCGCCGUCGGGAUGUUGGGUUCAGCCAUCUUCACCUGCCUGAUCUUCGUUGCGGCAAAGAGCAGCAUUGUGGGAGCCUAUGUCUGCAUUUUUAUCGGUGAGACUCUCUUGUUUUCAAACUGGGCCAUCACCGCUGACAUACUCAUGUACGUGGUUAUCCCUACACGCCGGGCAACUGCAGUAGCUUUGCAAAGCUUCACCUCACACCUUCUGGGAGACGCUGGGAGCCCUUACCUGAUUGGAUUUAUCUCUGACCUGAUUCGCCAGAGCACAAAGGAAUCACCGCUCUGGGAAUUCCUCAGCUUGGGCUACGCGCUCAUGCUCUGCCCUUUUGUCGUCGUUCUGGGAGGGAUGUUUUUCCUAGCCACGGCCCUCUUCUUCCUUAGCGACCGAGCCAGAGCGGAUCAACACACGGAUUUGGACCGCCUCGCCAUGGGCACCUCCAGUAACUCGGAAGACACAGCCACAUGACCGCUACAACUUGGGAGUAAAUCAACUCAUGAUGCCCCCAGCCUCUGUGAAAGUCUAAGGCGCUGACGUCCCGGAUGAUGAAGGAAAGCUUUUGUGAGCUCUGGCGGCCGCCGAACCCCAAAACGAGCACCUGCAGGAGACACCCUCCCUCCUUCCCCCCCGAUCCACCCUUUCCGGAACAUGGAGCCGCGGAAAAUUCAUCCCGGGGAACCGAUUGCACAGCGACACGGUGUUACUUCAGC
RNA transcript from Lacerta agilis (Sand lizard), 1877 nucleotides. It is a transcript of the gene named sphingolipid transporter 2, with no coding region annotated. Lineage: Eukaryota; Metazoa; Chordata; Lepidosauria; Squamata; Lacertidae. The record is from RefSeq and is a predicted model, not a curated record. The transcript has 14 exons.